AUUCUUAUUCCAUUGAACAAUUUGCCACUGUCUUUCAGGCAGAAAUCUAUGCUAUUUUUGCAUGUGUUAAAAUCAGUCCUGAUAGGAAUUAUGCUAAUAAACAUAUAGUAUUUAUAUUCUAUUGGACAGUCAAGCUGCAGUAAAAGCACAUGAUAGCUCUUCUUUACUUCAAAGUUUGUGUGAGAAUGUCAUCAUCUCAUUGUGGAAUUGGCUACCAGGAACAGAGUUCAACUUGAUUUAAUGCCAUGGCACAAAGGAAUUAAGAGCAAUGAGAUUGCAAAUAGUCUGACUAAGGAAGAGGCUUCUUGUCCCUUUCUCGGAUCAGAACCUGCUCUGGACAUCACAUCUGAUAUUCAGGGCAGAUUGACAACUCACCACUUCUCCCAUUGAAGUCUAUUCCUGAACUCUAAGGCAAGCAAAAGCUCUCAUUUUAGGUCCUUCAUUAGAGAGAAUUAGAGUUACUUGAAUUACAUAAAAAUCAAAUAAGGAUUGUUACAAAGGUCCUUACAAGGCAGUGUCAUCUUAGGAAACAACUUAUUUGGGAUUGCUGAUAAUCCCAAUUGUAAAAGUGUUAGAGAGGAAAUGAAACCUCACAUAUUAUGUGAAUAUGUAGCUCUUUCAAGGCUGAUAUUAUAUUUUCUAUGGUUGUGUUUUUCCAUGCCACAAAAUCUUUUUUACAGUCCUAGUGAAGAAGAUAUUGUCUUUUGUAGGGAAGGAGGGACUUCUUAUGGAAUGAUCCUGUUAGAAAUGCAAAAUAGAUCACUGUUGGUUACAGUGCUGGAGCUUUUUAAAGAUCACCUCUUUCCUGUAAUCAUCAUCAUUAUAAGCCAUUAGUUCAUCUGUAUAAAAACUCAGUGAUUUAUUUUGUCAGCAAUGAUUAUGAUGAAGAAGAUUAAAAAUUCUUUAACGUUUUAUAUGC
RNAcentral lists this long non-coding RNA (919 nucleotides) under Androctonus crassicauda. The record is from RNAcentral. Lineage: Eukaryota; Metazoa; Arthropoda; Arachnida; Scorpiones; Buthidae.